Molecule: ribosomal RNA, 411 nt
Filed under: Triticum aestivum (bread wheat)
Lineage: Eukaryota; Viridiplantae; Streptophyta; Magnoliopsida; Poales; Poaceae
Description: partial small subunit ribosomal RNA
Source: RNAcentral
AUGACUAGGGAUAACCUUAGGAAGAGACACAUCAUCAAACCCCUUAAUUGUGUUUACUGCUUGGAACAAGAGUCUUGCUCUCACCUAUUUUUUGAAUGUAUAGUUGCUAAACAUCUCUGGGCCCACAUUGAGGAAUAUUUCUCUAGUCAGAUUGGCUUAUCCUUCGAAUCUAUCGCCAGAUUCUGGAUUGCUACCAAAAAGUGCUCAGUUUUAAACACUGUUAGCUCAGCUGUCCUUUGGUGCCUCUAGAAAUAUAGAAAUGCUAUGAUUUUCAGUAACACCUCCUGGAUUUCCAUUCCGCAGGUCUUGAGAUUGAUCCGGAACAUGGUGAGGAACUAGGCGAUUCUCUUCUCCGGAUCGGACAAGGACAAGUUGAUGAGCUUCGUGGAAACCCUAACAAGAUCCCUCUAG